UACGUAGGGACCAAGCGUUGUUCGGAUUUACUGGGCGUAAAGAGCGUGUAGGCGGCCCGGUAAGUCCGCUGUGAAAGUCGGGGGCUCAACCCUCGAAUGCCGGUGGAUACUGUCGGGCUAGAGUGCGGAAGAGGCGAGUGGAAUUCCUGGUGUAGCGGUGAAAUGCGCAGAUAUCAGGAGGAACACCAAUUGCGAAGGCAGCUCGCUGGGACGUAACUGACGCUGAGACGCGAAAGCGUGGGGAGCAAACAGG
This 253-nucleotide ribosomal RNA is filed under the name uncultured bacterium. RNAcentral's name for it is "partial 16S ribosomal RNA". It matches the Rfam family "Bacterial small subunit ribosomal RNA", at positions 524 to 776 of the family's 1533-position model. The record is from RNAcentral.